Long non-coding RNA from Tribolium castaneum (red flour beetle), 1811 nucleotides. RefSeq lists it as uncharacterized. The transcript is spliced from 3 exons. Lineage: Eukaryota; Metazoa; Arthropoda; Insecta; Coleoptera; Tenebrionidae. The record is from RefSeq and is a predicted model, not a curated record.
AUGGCGCCAGAGUAGACUGGGACUGUCAUUAUGACAGUUUUAUAGAAGGGUUGAGGUUACGUAUUCAGCUUAUUUGUCUCGUUUUAGAGUUGCCUCAUGAUGUAUUGUUUUUGUUCGCGAAAUAUUGUUAGAAAUUUACUUUUGGGUUAAUCGGGGGGUGUCUGUAGUAGGUGAGAUUGGCUUCACGAUUUCGAGAAACGAUUGUUUUUUACGUUGCUUCGAUGAGACCUUGGGGUUAGUGAUGUGGUAUAUCGUGGGGAUACUACGAAAUCAGUUGCUUAAUCAAUUUCAGGGUUAACAUGUUUUCGCGUUAGCUUGUAUGCUAACUUGAACUCAUGUUUUGCAUCGUAUUCGAUUAAUUUUUGGAAAUGGCUCAAUCGAACGCAUCCUUCUGGUACAUGUAGCUCUUUUUUUGCAACGAGACGAUUUCGAAUGCAUUUUAACAAAUGUGGAAAAUCGGAGCACAUCCGCAGUUUUCUUUUUGGAUUAGCAGGAUGAAUUGUCCACGGCGCAUCCGGAUUUUCGGCACUGCAAGACUUCCACAUGUUUCUGUUCCAUGUAGCACCGUCAGAGAACAAGCUUUGCCAAAAUUGGACCACUGACGCUGCCUUUCGACAAAAAGCACGCAAGAGCUUGAAUAUUUUUGCCUACAAACGACUGAAACAUGAAAACGAGGACGUGGUCUCCCAGUUGAUUUUGUUGAUUAUUGGGUGUAUAAUCGCCCAAAUCCACAAACCCUAUUACUUCCAAACGAUUCUUAUCAAAGUGUUUGCUUGGAGUUAUUUUACAUUCAUCUACCAUUAUCGUUCCAUGUCGUUCAAAUUCCGUCAUAUUUUUGGUUUUUUCUUUUAAAAGUUCAAACAAUUUAUUUUGAAAUCCGUAAGCACUGUCGAUGUUCCUGAUGUAAUUAGAUAGAGUACUCGGUGCAGGCAGAGGAAGCAACUCCCUAGUCCUCAUAUGUCGAUAGAGUUUAGGACUUUUAAUUUUCAAAAGAAUACACGUGUAUAUCCAUUCCUUCGAGUAUCUUUUGCCAAAUACAGGACGACCAACAGUUUCAAAACAUGUACGAACCACCAUUUGUUGAUUUUCUGGUAAUUUAUUAAUAAUAUUUUCGAUCUUAUCUUGAUCCUUCAAAAUUUGACUCAUUUCCGUAAUAGUCUUGGUCUGUCUUUUUUCUUUUCUUUUCAGUCGUAAAUAUAACUGCUUUUUAUUCUUUUUACGCAAAUUUGUUUGUAGUGUAGAUUUUGUCUUUCUGUUGAUGUCCCGUAGUAAAUUUUUUCUUAAAGCAGCACAUGUUUUACAUCUUUCUGUUUUCUUUUGUUUAUUUUCACCAUUGCAAAGGUGGCUCCUUUUGUCGCUAAUUCCUGUACCCAAACAUAAAUUAGCGUCCUCUACUCUAUUAACAAUGUUUAGAACGUCUUCAAAAGUUUGUACAGCAUGCACGGAUCGAAAGAUCCCAUUCAAGUAGACAUUGGCAUUGCAGUUGUCCACAACAACAGCUCUAUCGAUUUUGGGAAUGUUUCCCACUACGCGACUUAUAGUUACGAUAUUUGUGUUGUUGUGAACUCCCCAACCUGAUGGCAAUCGCACAUGUAAUUCUUGAAUAUUUUCUUUUAAAGCCGUUAAUACAUGUUUAUCUGAAAAACUUGUUCGGGAAUGGGAGGGUUGAAGGAUUUCUUGAAAUUUUGAAAUUUGCAUGGUUUCAUUUUGAUGUUCUUGGGAUAUAGAUGGAAUUUGUGGGGAUCUAAAACAAUUUUAAUUUAAAUUUUUGUUAUUAUAUUUUUUAUACGUAAUAAAGUAGUAUAGAUGGA